This 328-nucleotide ribosomal RNA is filed under the name uncultured Acidobacteriota bacterium. RNAcentral describes it as "bacterial SSU rRNA". It matches the Rfam family "Bacterial small subunit ribosomal RNA", at positions 1048 to 1374 of the family's 1533-position model. The record is from RNAcentral. Lineage: Bacteria; Pseudomonadati; Acidobacteriota.
GCUGUCGUCAGCUCGUGUCGUGAGAUGUUGGGUUAAGUCCCGCAACGAGCGCAACCCCUGCCUUUAGUUGCCACCAGAUUAUGCUGAGCACUCUAAAGGGACUGCCGGUGAAAAACCGGAGGAAGGUGGGGAUGACGUCAAGUCCUCAUGGCCUUUAUGUCCAGGGCUACACACGUACUACAAUGGGCGGCACAAUGAGUCGCAAACCCGCGAGGGGGAGCCAAUCUCAAAAAACCGCUCUCAGUUCGGAUUGCAGUCUGAGGGAGAGACUGCAUGAAGCUGGAAUCGCUAGUAAUCGCUGAUCAGCAAGCAGCGGUGAAUACGUUCC